GCCCGGCUUGAACUUGCCCCGCCAUGGUUGUCAUGGCAAACGCUUCAGGGUCCUCACAGGGGCUUUGCCGGAAGUCCGUCCUGGGAGGCCAAUUGAAGAGUGCCGAGGUGGUCCGCUCAGGUCCCUGCGUGACCAGAGUUGCGUUUUGCAGUAAAACGAUCUCAAGGACCUCGGAGGCGGCAGCCGCGCCCCCUUCCAGAGCACCUCCGGGACGACGCACUUUGACCCGGAAGUGGGUGGGAGAGGAAGCAGCUGGUGAUGCUGGAACAAACAUGGCCGUCCCGGUACCCCUCGGCCGCUUCGGCUCCUUCUGCCUGCGGCUGCUACGACUGCUGGCGUUGCUGGAGCUGCUGGUCCACCCCGUCUUGGGCCGCGUCCAUCACCUGGCGCUCAAAGAUGAUGUGCGGCAUAAAGUCCAUCUCAACACCUUCGGGUUCUUCAAGGAUGGGUACAUGGUGGUCAACGUCAGCAGCCUCUCUGUGAACGAGCCUGAGGGAGCCACGGACAAGGAUGCUGAGAUCGGAUUCAGUCUGGAUCGGACUAAGAACGAUGGCUUUUCUUCUUACCUGGAUGAAGAUGUGAAUUACUGUAUUUUAAAAAAGAAGUCCAUGUCUUCUGUCACUCUUGUCAUCUUAGACAUCUCUGGAAGCAUAGUCAAGGUCAGAUCCCCACCAGAAGCUGGUAAGCAGUUACCAGAGAUUGUCUUCAGCAAGGAUGAGAAAAUCCUGAGUCAGAGCCAGGAGCCUGCUGUCAGCUCCAACCCCAAAGACAGUGAGGCUCGGAGAACCCUCGAUGGUUUCAAGGCUGGACGAAGUACAGUGGACUCAAAGGCUAUCACAGAGCGAUCCUUCUCAAUUCACAAGAAUGACGGGGUGGUCUCAUUUCAGUUCUUCUUUAACAUCAGCACCGAUGACCAGGAAGGCCUCUACAGCCUUUACUUCCACAAGUGCUCAGGCAACAACGUGAAGCCUGGUGAACAGGCCUCAUUCAGCCUGAAUAUUGCUAUCACAGAGAAGAACCCUAACAGCUACCUCUCUGCCGGGGAAAUCCCUCUCCCCAAGUUAUAUGUUUCCAUGGCCUUGUUCUUCUUUCUGUCUGGGACCAUUUGGAUUCACAUCCUUCGUAAGAGAAGGAAUGAUGUAUUUAAAAUUCACUGGUUGAUGGCCGCCCUUCCUUUCACCAAGUCUCUCUCGUUGGUGUUCCAUGCAAUCGACUACCACUACAUCUCCUCGCAGGGCUUUCCGAUUGAAGGCUGGGCUGUUGUAUACUACAUAACUCACCUGCUAAAGGGCGCACUCCUGUUCAUCACCAUCGCCCUCAUCGGCACUGGCUGGGCCUUCAUCAAGCACAUCCUGUCUGAUAAAGACAAGAAGAUCUUCAUGAUUGUCAUCCCGCUCCAGGUCCUGGCGAAUGUGGCCUACAUCAUCAUAGAGUCCACUGAGGAGGGCACAACUGAGUAUGGCCUAUGGAAGGACUCUCUGUUCCUGGUUGACUUGCUUUGCUGUGGCGCCAUCCUCUUCCCAGUGGUGUGCUGCCAUUAACUUAGCGAAGCUGAGGCUUUUCAGACAUUACUACGUCUUGAUUGUGUGCUACAUCUACUUUACCAGGAUCAUCGCCUUCCUUCUCAAGUUUGCUGUUCCAUUCCAGUGGAAGUGGCUCUACCAGCUGCUGGAUGAAACAGCCACGCUGGUGUUCUUUGUCCUGACGGGGUAUAAAUUUCGCCCAGCUUCAGAUAACCCCUACCUGCAGCUCUCUCAGGAAGAUGAUGACCUGGAGAUGGAGUCCGUAGUGACGACAUCGGGUGUGAUGGAGAAUAUGAAGAAGGUGAAGAAAGUGAGCAACGGUGCUGUGGAGCCCCAGGGCAGCUGGGAAGGCACCGCGUGACAGCAGGGCUGAGGACUGCUGUCAAUGAAACUAGCUUAUUCAUAGCCAAGCAGUGAGCAAGCGCGUUCCUGACAGAACGAUGGCAUCUCCCAGCGGUGACACUCCAGCCAGCGCUCAGCGCUCAUGCUGAGCAAGUGCCACGGACACACAUUUUUGUACUCUUAGGAUCUGGAUUGUGGUGUGGGCUACAGGCAGCUAGGACUGCCCUCAGUGAGGGCGGGAAGGGGCUUAGAGGAGGAGUAAAGGACUGGAGUCUGAUUUACCUUGCUAAUUGGGAGCCUGGGUCUGUGCCAAGGAGCCCUGUGGCUGCUACUCAGAAAGGCUAUGGGGUGGGGGAGCGGGUCUGCGCUGGUCAGUGCUGUGGAGGCUGGGGAGGGUGUGACUCGCUGCUCAGCCUAGCAGUUUAUAAGGCUUUGGGUUCAAUUCCUAGCACCAGGGUGGGGGAGAAGGAUUUACUUUGGGAACUAGACAGAUAUCUACCAAGGGCAUAGGAGAAAGGGAUUGUCAGCCUUUGGGGACAAGAACCACAGAAAUGAAUGAAAUUCUUUCAGAUAGCCAAAUAGACACCCUAGGUGGCAUGACACCUGUCCAGGGAGGGCCACUGGUCCCCAAGCACCACUCUAAAUGUCCUCGCCCUGAUGUGACCUACACCAGUGGUGCUAGAGGCCAGCAGGGAGGACCCAGUACACAGCUGGCUGAAGGGAGAAAGGCCUUGGAGCUCCAGAAGUGCGCUCCAGCUGGCUCUCCUGACUCCAUUCCCCUGCCUGCCCAGAGCAGCCGCCUGGCUUCCUCUCCUUCCACCUGUGUCUUCUGAUCCGAAUCCGAGAAAACAGAACUUUCCUGAAGGAGCAGCUGAGGACAGAAAGGGUAGUGUCUAAACGAACGCUUAGGUAAGCAUCCUUCCACAGAUUGCAUGGGCCAGGCAGGACCUCUGAGCCUCAACUACGUAGUCCAAGUAUGCAUGAAGGGAGUGAGUGUGUUUGAGCCACUCAUGCUCAGAGACCUGAAACAGCCAGAUCUGCUCAGAGAUUGGGCAGGAACACCAGCGGCUGCCUGCAGAAGGCAUGUGACAAAGUCACAGGAGACCAGUUCGGCACCUCAGAGCCGCUUAGUGCCCAGGACUUGCAGGUGAGUCGCACCUUCAAGGAACAGGCGCUUCCUGGGGUGAGUUACUCUACCUCCCAGUGCAGAAGAUCUCUGUCCUGAAGACAGUGUGUCUGUCUCCACACCCCCAGCCCAAGUCCAUGUCCUAAGCCAUCAGUGAGAAGCCGCUGCUUGUGCUGCCCUGGCAGGUCCGUCCCUACCACAGGUGUUCCGACAGGCCUGAAGGAUCUAUUUAAGGGACUCUUUCUCCUCGUUCCGUUUGUUUGUUUGUUUGUUUGUUUGUUGUGUUUAUACUUGUUUAAAGUGUGUGGUGGGGAAGGAGUUGUUGAGGAGAUGGGGCAUUAGUGCUUUGUUUUCUGCACGUAAGCACUGCAGAAGUGUGUUCCUCUGGUGACAUCUAAGCCACAGCCUGCCUCUCAGAGGGCAGGGUCUUUUUGGAAGGGGCCUCGUUUCACUUGCUGGGUUUUAGGAGAGCCAGAGGGGAGAAGUUGUACCACCCAGCCCACAGAGCUGUCUGGGUGCACAGCCGAGCGGGUGGAGGGACAGCCUGCUCCUUCCAGGGCAUGGGUGCACGGGCUGGGAGGUGUGCUACAGCAGUAUCCUCCCAAGUCUUGCCCUGGAACUGCUGUAGGUGGGAAGCCAGGCAUGGCGGGGGAAUGGGAAGCCUAACCUGGGGCUGGGAAGACUGGCCUGGUGCCCAGGCUGUGGAAAGGAAAGCUUCUAGCCCUUUAUCCUGCACUGUAAGCGUAUCUCGUAUCUCGUCUCCAUCACUUGAGAGCUGUGAGCCAGCAUUCCGCGGUGUCCUUGGGUAGAGGAGUCUGAUUGGAGUCCAGCCGCCCCAGCUCACGAGCUGUCCUCUGCAGCCUUGAGUCUUAGCCCACCUGGCUUCACACAGCCCUGUUUCAGUGGUAAAGCCCAUGUGUUGGAGGGGCUGAGCAAAAAUGGGGUGUGCAUUGCACUGCCACUCUGGUAUUAACAGCUCUGCUCUGUGUCUCUCCCCCUUCUGCCUGUGUGAGGUAUCCAUACUUUGAGAGUGCUGUGGACUGGAAGCUGUGGGCUGUGACAUUUAAUAAAGUGUGGUAGAUAAUUAUUUCUUGGACAACAA
This is an RNA transcript of Mus musculus (house mouse), 4093 nucleotides long. It is a transcript of the gene named G protein-coupled receptor 107, with no coding region annotated. NCBI's taxonomy places the organism in Eukaryota, Metazoa, Chordata, Mammalia, Rodentia, Muridae. The record is from RefSeq and is marked validated. The transcript has 17 exons.